GCCGGUUUAGCUCAGCUGGUAGAGCACCUGAUUUGUAAUCAGGGGGUCGCGGGUUCGAUCCCUGCAACCGGCACCA
Molecule: transfer RNA, 76 nt
Filed under: Telmatospirillum sp.
Lineage: Bacteria; Pseudomonadati; Pseudomonadota; Alphaproteobacteria; Rhodospirillales; Rhodospirillaceae
Description: tRNA-Thr
Rfam family: tRNA
About the family: Transfer RNA (tRNA) molecules are approximately 80 nucleotides in length. Their secondary structure includes four short double-helical elements and three loops (D, anti-codon, and T loops). Further hydrogen bonds mediate the characteristic L-shaped molecular structure. tRNAs have two regions of fundamental functional importance: the anti-codon, which is responsible for specific mRNA codon recognition, and the 3' end, to which the tRNAs corresponding amino acid is attached (by aminoacyl-tRNA synthetases). tRNAs cope with the degeneracy of the genetic code in two manners: having more than one tRNA (with a specific anti-codon) for a particular amino acid; and 'wobble' base-pairing, i.e. permitting non-standard base-pairing at the 3rd anti-codon position.
Source: RNAcentral